This 80-nucleotide transfer RNA is filed under the name Faecalibaculum rodentium. It matches the Rfam family "tRNA". From Rfam's summary of the family: Transfer RNA (tRNA) molecules are approximately 80 nucleotides in length. Lineage: Bacteria; Bacillati; Bacillota; Erysipelotrichia; Erysipelotrichales; Erysipelotrichaceae. The record is from Rfam by way of RNAcentral.
GCGGACAUGGUGGAAUUGGCAGACACCCCAGAUUUAGGAUCUGGUGCUUCGGCGUGCAGGUUCGAGUCCUGUUGUCCGCA